GCUGGAGUGGUGGAAUGGCAUACACGCCAGUCUCAAAAACUGGUGAGUUCACGCUCGUGAGGGUUCAACUCCCUCCUCCAGCA
This 83-nucleotide transfer RNA is filed under the name Candidatus Omnitrophota bacterium. RNAcentral's name for it is "tRNA-Leu". It matches the Rfam family "tRNA". Rfam says of the family: Transfer RNA (tRNA) molecules are approximately 80 nucleotides in length. Their secondary structure includes four short double-helical elements and three loops (D, anti-codon, and T loops). Lineage: Bacteria; Pseudomonadati; Candidatus Omnitrophota. The record is from RNAcentral.